AUUGAACGCUGGCGGCAGGCCUAACACAUGCAAGUCGAGCGGAUGAAGGGAGCUUGCUCCUGGAUUCAGCGGCGGACGGGUGAGUAAUGCCUAGGAAUCUGCCUGGUAGUGGGGGAUAACGUCCGGAAACGGGCGCUAAUACCGCAUACGUCCUGAGGGUGAACGUGGGGGAUCUUCGGACCUCACGCUAUCAGAUGAGCCUAGGUCGGAUUAGCUAGUUGGUGGGGUAAAGGCCUACCAAGGCGACGAUCCGUAACUGGUCUGAGAGGAUGAUCAGUCACACUGGAACUGAGACACGGUCCAGACUCCUACGGGAGGCAGCAGUGGGGAAUAUUGGACAAUGGGCGAAAGCCUGAUCCAGCCAUGCCGCGUGUGUGAAGAAGGUCUUCGGAUUGGAAAGCACUUUAAGUUGGGAGGAAGGGCAGUAAGUUAAUACCUUGCUGUGUUGACGUUACCAACAGAAUAAGCACCGGCUAACUUCGUG
This 484-nucleotide ribosomal RNA is filed under the name uncultured bacterium. RNAcentral's name for it is "partial 16S ribosomal RNA". It matches the Rfam family "Bacterial small subunit ribosomal RNA", at positions 30 to 507 of the family's 1533-position model. The record is from RNAcentral.